This 613-nucleotide unclassified non-coding RNA is filed under the name Hevea brasiliensis (rubber tree). The record is from RNAcentral. Lineage: Eukaryota; Viridiplantae; Streptophyta; Magnoliopsida; Malpighiales; Euphorbiaceae.
UCUCUCUCUCUCUCUCUCUCUAGUAGACGGUUUACCAAACAAACAUCCUUUGCAACCAAGGCAAACGUGGCAACAAUUAUGCAGGAAUCAAGUCAUGAAUUCGGAGGCCUAAGGUAUAAUACUUCCAUUUCAUCUAUAUUACGAUCAUCUUUUAGAUUAUAUUCAUGAUUCUCACAGAUAUAAUCGCCUAAAAAAUUGGAUAUUACGGUCCCAAUCAUUUUUAUCAUGAUUAGUUUAUCUAGAUACUGGUUGUCUAUUCUCAUUUUAAUGCCCAUGUUGUUAAUGUUACUUGCACGGUUGCACCAAGUCGGCAACAGUAUACACAAGGUAAUUACUUAAAUUCUAGCCCUAUCUUCUUAAUCGCACACUGCAGUGGAAGUAAAAAUAAAAACAAUAGCCUAGCUAGUUCAUAUGUGUUUCACAAUCAUGGUUGUACCUGUCCUAUGUUAUCAUUUAAUGCCCAUAUUGUUGACUUGCACCAAGUUGGCAAUAGUAUACACAAGCUAAUUCGUACUUUAUGCGAUAAUUCUAGCUUUAUCUUUUUUAUCACAUACUUCACUAAAAGUUAAAAAAAAAAAAAAAAAGAAUAACUAUAUUGAUAGUAGAUGAAUCA